GGGGGUGAAAGGCCAAUCAAACCGGGAGAUAGCUGGUUCUCCCCGAAAGCUAUUUAGGUAGCGCCUCGUGAACUCAUCUCCGGGGGUAGAGCACUGUUUCGGCUAGGGGCCAUCCCGGCUUACCAACCCGAUGCAAACUGCGAAUACCGGAGAAUGUUAUCACGGGAGACACACGGCGGGUGCUAACGUCCGUCGUGAAGAGGGAAACAACCCAGACCGCCAGCUAAGGUCCCAAAGUCAUGGUUAAGUGGGAAACGAUGUGGGAAGGCCCAGACAGCCAGGAUGUUGGCUUAGAAGCAGCCAUCAUUUAAAGAAAGCGUAAUAGCUCACUGGUCGAGUCGGCCUGCGCGGAAGAUGUAACGGGGCUAAACCAUGCACCGAAGCUGCGGCAGCGAC
Molecule: ribosomal RNA, 396 nt
Filed under: Cronobacter sakazakii
Lineage: Bacteria; Pseudomonadati; Pseudomonadota; Gammaproteobacteria; Enterobacterales; Enterobacteriaceae
Description: partial 23S ribosomal RNA
Rfam family: Bacterial large subunit ribosomal RNA
Source: RNAcentral